CCCGUAUUAGACAUUCUCUGGUAAUACUGAGACAAACUGCUUCAAGUUUUUUUUUUUAUAGGACCUGAGGAUAUCAUCGAGGAAACAGUAUGCCUCGCAGCUGUAGGAGAAGACCGCGCCAUGAGUGGACCGCAUUCUCCUCCUUCUCCGCAGUCCUCAUUUUCAAGACAAUGAAAGGGCAGAAAGUGACCCCGAUACAAGAUCAGGAAUAUUCUAUAUGGCAUUACCACUGCUUUUGGUCGGGUCUUUGUUCCUUUCAAGGAUCGCCGUGUAGAUAAAUCCUUGAUGCUGUGGAAAGGUGCUUGUGGUACUGUGCGGCCCAACAGGAAAAGGAUGCCACAUUUCACCUGCAAAAUCAGAAAGGGAGAAGUUGAGUUCAAGAAAAACGGUCAGCAGCUUGCAGUCCAAGUGGCAUGACAAAAGGGAAAGGCAUUUCCACUGGGCAUAAAUCCGCAAUGGCUGUGUCCUGGAUUACAGGAGGAAGAUGGGAGCCGUGGAUAAGAGCGAUAUGCUCAAACGUGCCGUGUGCAAGAAACACC
This is a long non-coding RNA of Osmerus eperlanus (European smelt), 539 nucleotides long. RefSeq lists it as uncharacterized. The transcript is spliced from 3 exons. The record is from RefSeq and is a predicted model, not a curated record. Lineage: Eukaryota; Metazoa; Chordata; Actinopteri; Osmeriformes; Osmeridae.